Molecule: ribosomal RNA, 239 nt
Filed under: uncultured bacterium
Lineage: Bacteria
Description: partial 16S ribosomal RNA
Rfam family: Bacterial small subunit ribosomal RNA
Source: RNAcentral
UACGAAGGGUGCAAGCGUUACUCGGAAUUACUGGGCGUAAAGCGUGCGUAGGUGGUUUGUUAAGUCUGUUGUGAAAGCCCCGGGCUCAACCUGGGAAUGGCAAUGGAUACUGGCAGGCUAGAGUGCGGUAGAGGGUAGUGGAAUUCCCGGUGUAGCGGUGAAAUGCGUAGAGAUCAGGAGGAACACCCAUGGCGAAGGCAGCUAACUGGGCAUUAUCUGACGCUGAGGCGCGAAAGCGU